GGGCGCUUAGCUCAGCUGGUUUAGAGCAUCUGCCUUACAAGCAGAGGGUCGGGGGUUCGAAUCCCUCAGCGCCCACCA
Molecule: transfer RNA, 78 nt
Filed under: Prevotella sp.
Lineage: Bacteria; Pseudomonadati; Bacteroidota; Bacteroidia; Bacteroidales; Prevotellaceae
Also listed under: 13 other names
Description: tRNA-Val
Rfam family: tRNA
About the family: Transfer RNA (tRNA) molecules are approximately 80 nucleotides in length. Their secondary structure includes four short double-helical elements and three loops (D, anti-codon, and T loops). Further hydrogen bonds mediate the characteristic L-shaped molecular structure. tRNAs have two regions of fundamental functional importance: the anti-codon, which is responsible for specific mRNA codon recognition, and the 3' end, to which the tRNAs corresponding amino acid is attached (by aminoacyl-tRNA synthetases). tRNAs cope with the degeneracy of the genetic code in two manners: having more than one tRNA (with a specific anti-codon) for a particular amino acid; and 'wobble' base-pairing, i.e. permitting non-standard base-pairing at the 3rd anti-codon position.
Source: RNAcentral